GUCGGUGGUUCAAGUCCACUUAGGCCCAUUGGAUGGGGCCUUAGCUCAGCUGGGAGAGCGCCUGCUUUGCAAGCAGGAGGUCAUCGGUUCGAUCCCGAUAGGCUCCACCAUAUCAAGGUAAGAGGUUUCAACGUAGUUGCUUUGCGUCUGCGUCUACAAGCGGAUUCGGAGAAGCUGAAUUCCUCGACGCAAACCAGCGAAGAAGCGAAUUCAAAGGAGCUGCUUUGCGUCUGUGCCUGCGUCUGCUAGCAGGUUCAGGGAAGCAAGAUUCCUCGGCACAAAGCCGCAAGGAAGUUUGUUCAAAGAAGUCGCUUUGCGUCUACAAGCGGAUUCGGAGAAGCCGAAUUUCUCGACGCAAACCAGCGAAGAAGCGAAUUCAAAGGAGCUGCUUUGCGUCUGUGCCUGCGUCUGCUAGCAGGUUCAGGGAAGCAAGAUUCCUCGGCACAAGACUGCAGAGAAGCAAAUUCAAGAAGCAGUCUCGUUCCUUGAAAACUAGAUAACCGGAAAAGCGGAGGCGAGCGUUUCGCCGCGAUGGGCAAAUGUUCUUCGCCUGGAGGGAUGUUCACAUCCCGAAGGCGAAGGUUAUUUGACCCCGAGCGGCGGCGAGCCGAAGCUAGACAGUAAGGAAG
RNAcentral lists this transfer RNA (629 nucleotides) under Geobacillus kaustophilus. RNAcentral describes it as "partial 16S-23S ribosomal RNA intergenic spacer". The stretch from base 35 to 107 matches the Rfam family "tRNA". Lineage: Bacteria; Bacillati; Bacillota; Bacilli; Caryophanales; Anoxybacillaceae. The record is from RNAcentral.